GACAGGAUGGCCGAGCGGUCUAAGGCGCCAGACUCAAGGUUCCCUUGCCCGCUCAGCGGGUUGAGUUGUUCUGGUCCUCUCUGAGGGCGUGGGUUUGAAUCCCACUUCUGACA
This 113-nucleotide transfer RNA is filed under the name Melitaea cinxia (Glanville fritillary). RNAcentral's name for it is "misc RNA ENSMCXG00005023372.1". It matches the Rfam family "tRNA". Rfam says of the family: Transfer RNA (tRNA) molecules are approximately 80 nucleotides in length. Lineage: Eukaryota; Metazoa; Arthropoda; Insecta; Lepidoptera; Nymphalidae. The record is from RNAcentral.